This 383-nucleotide ribosomal RNA is filed under the name uncultured eukaryote. RNAcentral's name for it is "partial 18S ribosomal RNA". It matches the Rfam family "Eukaryotic small subunit ribosomal RNA", at positions 592 to 976 of the family's 1831-position model. The record is from RNAcentral.
CAACAGCGUAUAUUAAAGUUGUUGCGGUUAAAAAGCUCGUAGUUGGAUCUCGGCAGGCAGGGGGUGGUUCGCUCUUAGCGCUACUGCCCCAUUUGCCUGUGUGAUUGGCGGAGGUUUCGGGGUGCUCUUCGUUGAGUGACCCGGGGCGCCGUCAGGUUUACUUUGAAAAAAUUAGAGUGCUCAAAGCAGGCUUUUCACGCUUGAAUAUUCGUGCAUGGAAUAAUGGAAUAGGAACUCGUUUCUACUUUGUUGGUUUUCGGAAAUCGAGUUAAUGAUUAAUAGGGACAAUUGGGGGCAUUAGUAUUCAGACGACAGAGGUGAAAUUCUUGGACCGUCUGAAGACUAACUACUGCGAAAGCAUUUGCCAAGAGUGUUUUCAUUAA